This is a non-coding RNA of Caretta caretta (loggerhead turtle), 391 nucleotides long. The record is from RefSeq and is a predicted model, not a curated record. NCBI's taxonomy places the organism in Eukaryota, Metazoa, Chordata, Testudines, Cheloniidae.
UUAUUUUUCCUGUGUUCAUUUAGGGGAUGGUUAAAGUGUUGAGCUGGAUCCUCAGGUGGCAUAAGCCAUUGUUGACUUCACUGGGGUUACACCACUUCACACUAACUGGAGAUUGGGGCCAUUGGCUUGACAGCCAUAGAAAUUAGAAACGAACGAAUUUCAGACUGCUGGGAAAUCAGAGUCAACUGCUGCCCGUGUCUUCAGUUUGAGCAGGAACACGGAAACAGAAGAAAACGGAGAGAUCUGGAAACUGAGGUAAAGAGAGGUUAAGGAACUUACCCAAGGUCCUACAGCUCUGCAACAGAAUUCCUGCCUCACGCUGAAUGUCCCAGACCCCACAGCCUCUCCUCCUGUGUACCACCUAUGGAGCUACCGACCCAGGAAAGCAAAU